GUUAGUUUGACAUGACCUGUGCUUCAUAAAACCAUGCUGAUUUUUGCUGAUAACCAUGUUCUUCAGCAAAAAUCAGCAUGGUUUUAUAAGGCACAGGUCAUGUCAAACUAAC
This is a non-coding RNA of Pelobates cultripes (western spadefoot toad), 112 nucleotides long. The record is from the annotation of a GenBank genome assembly. Lineage: Eukaryota; Metazoa; Chordata; Amphibia; Anura; Pelobatidae.